This 447-nucleotide ribosomal RNA is filed under the name uncultured bacterium. RNAcentral describes it as "bacterial SSU rRNA". It matches the Rfam family "Bacterial small subunit ribosomal RNA", at positions 330 to 793 of the family's 1533-position model. The record is from RNAcentral.
UCCAGACUCCUACGGGAGGCAGCAGUGGGGGAUAUUGCACAAUGGGGGAAACCCUGAUGCAGCGACGCCGCGUGAGUGAAGAAGUCUUUCGGUAUGUAAAGCUCUCUCAGCAGGGAAGAAGAUGGCAGUACCUGAGUAAGAAGCCCCGGCUACCUACGUGCCAGCAGCCGCGGUAAUACGUAGGGGGCAAGCGUUAUCCGGAUUUACUGGGUGUAAAGGGAGCGUAGACGGUUAUGUAAGUCUGGAGUGAAAGCCCGGGGCCCAACCCCGGGACUGCUUUGGAAACUGUGUAACUAGAGUACAGGAGGGGCAGGCGGAAUUCCUGGUGUAGCGGUGAAAUGCGUAGAUAUCAGGAGGAACACCGGCGGCGAAGGCGGCCUGCUGGACUGAAACUGACGUUGAGGCUCGAAAGCGCGGGGAGCAAACAGGAUUAGAUACCCUUGUAUG